UCUCUCUCUCUCUCACACACACACACACAUUUUUCCUUUGAGGUUACAAACGCGAGGACUAGCUGUUGUUGCCUUGUAUGGUCAAGCCACCAUUGCACCAGACACGCAAAUACACAUUGCUCUCAGAUUCUUUUGGUGGGGUUUGCAAGUAGAGAGAUCGCAUUUAGGAAUUGUAUUUUGCCAUCAUACAGAAUGGCACAAGAUGAGGCAAUAGGUGUGUGGUGCAGAUGCUCUCCAACCAUUUGAAUCUGCAGUUCUCCACAACUCAUUUACAACAAAAGCCUUGAGUAGUAGCACUGAUGUCACUAUAAGAUAUAAUUUUGUAAAAAUCCAAAUAAGCAUUGUAUAUACAAUUCAGUUCAUUAAGCAUAACUCAAUCUAUAGGCCGAAUGAAUUGAAACUGAAAAUAUAGGUGAUGCACCAAAUUUUUAUCUAGGAAAAUUGGGGCAUUUCUUUUUAGCAUUACUCCUUAUACAUUAAAUAUUAUGUGCCAAAACAGGAUGGAUAGAACCAUACUUUGUGCUUGCUUGAAUUUAAUACUUAUAUAUCAAUUCCCUACUCUAGGCUUUUCAUCAGGAUUAAUAAGUAGUAGUGAUGCAUCACUUCCCUAAUAGCCUACAGCUGGCAAAACUUAGGUUAUGAAACAUCAUGUGUCAACUGUCAAUUUUAUAAAUGUCCUUAUAUUAUGUCAUAAUCUUCCGACAUGAUUUCAAUGUUUACAGGUGUACUACAAUGCAGUAAACUGAUCGUGUACAUUUCUUAAUUUUCCAUAGGACCUCUCCAUCCUCGAGCCCUUCUUCUCCUCUCUCCGCGCCGUCUCGCCUCCCCUGCUCUCGCAGCGCCACCUUCCCUGCCCGGCGCUCGAGGUGCAGCAGUAGGCGCGCCAUGAUUUUGGAUCGGGCGGAUAUCUUCGCCAGGAGAGUAGGAGCACUUGCUGUUAAUAUGAACGAUCUCUCACUAAGUUUUUGUUAUGACGUUGUGUGCCGAUUCAUGAUUUAAACACGCAAAAUGUUUGGUUUGCAUAUUUGUGCCUAGCCCUGUUACCAGCAGUGUAUUUUUUGCUGUAAGAAAGACAGCAGUGCUUUAUUUCUUUGACUUUUUGAUCGUGUCUAAUUUCUGGUAAAAGAGAGGAAUUUGAGAGAGAUAGACAACCUGAAGAGCUUUGAAUGGUUGUUCGAGUGUGCCGCCGGCCUCCUCGCUGCUGUUGUUUGCGUAGCUGGCACGGUGUGUGGCUACUGCCGAGAUAAGCGCAGUUUACUCCAGGUUUGGUGAUGGUGUUGAACAACACCUUAACUGGGCCAAGGAAUUUAGUAGCAUUGCGGGAUCAUAAACCAGUUUUUCUGUUCUCUGUGCUCACAUAGUAAGAACAUGCUUGCAAGUUCUUUUCCCUAGGUGUAAUUUCUUUUGCUGAGAUAGAUUAAGCCUGGGUCGAGGUGGCUGCUGUGUGCCGGUUGCCAGUACUUGUUUGUUGUAAUGUCUUACCCAGUGAGAUUUCUUUUCUUCUUGCCUAUUUUCAGAGGUUCUGCUUGAAGAUUCUCUAAUCACUUUCUUUGGAUUUUUUUUUCCUGAGAUAUGCUUUCAGGUUACUUCAAUGUUACCAGACUUAAAAUGUACUAUCUAGCAUACUAGCACGUGUGUAUAUGAUGCCUCUUUUUAUCCUUGAAUGUAAGACACAUGGUGUUUUGUUCCAUUGUUAUGCUUAACGGAAGUGAUGUUCUGUUAUCAUAUUCAAAACUAUAGCUCUUUGUUUGCAGUAUCUCGAAGGGAGCAAUAUUUUGAUACUUGCUUUAUAGGAAUUCUCUUUCUUUGCCUAGAAUUUGUGAUUUAUGACUGAUGUCAAUUCCACCUUUGUAGGUGCUUCUCAAUUAUUACUAAUUUUGAAACUGCAGAGGAGCAGGAGAUGAGGAGGGCGCCACUUGGUGUACAAUGGUGCAUGAUGCGGCAGUUAGACCGGGAGAUGAGGAGCGCGGCACUGGGUGUACGAAGGAUUAGUAGGAAGAAUGUUAAUCACAGUGGGUGAAAAGAAAAUGCGAGCUCGGCUGAUUGCAUACUAUUUGGUUGAGUUGUUUUGUCCUAAAGAUACAAUCAAGCUGAAGAUUUCUUUUCUAUGGAAAUUCACCAUGGGAAUCGAAAUAAUGGUACUCUGCACAGCCUUUACUUUCUUGCAUCGAUUCUUCAUUCUACAAGUCACACCUUUUCUAUUUGGUAAAAGAGGAGUGAGCUCAUGCUUGAACUUCCACUAUAUAUGUUAACACUUGGAUACUGUAUCAAUCCAGUAAUCAUCUGAUCCUUCAUUGUUUUCCCUUGCAUUGCCUCCUUUAACUCUUCUGGACCUUUGAAAAGAAUGAUUUUUCGGUUAUAUAAUGUAUCAUGUUUUGUUUCGUUGUUGAGAGGUAGAUGGUAAAGUAGGCUGGUAUUUUCAUUUUGUUCAUAUGCAGAUAUUUGAUAUAAGUGAAUAUAUACCUUUUGGUAGGUGAAUGUGCUCUCCAUUAGUAUCACUGAUAUAUUUGAGCUUCAGAGAAGGAUAUCUAUGCCUUUUGUUUUUGUUUUUUGAACAAAAGAGUGUUGUAUGUGUAUCGUUAAGGGGAUGAAGCAGCAAAGUUACCUACGCAAUUUAGCAGGAUGUGGCUGGUACGUACAGAGUGGUUUACUUAGGUUUGGUGUUACUGCUAUCUCUUUCGUUGUAAAACUGCAGAGCGGCAGAGUUUAUAGAUUUAUCAACCAUGCUUUUGGUGCCAGUAGUUUUGUAUUUAAGAUGUAGCUGUUGUGCAGCUCCAUGUGUCUGUGUGAUCUGAUAUAUAAAUAUAACAUAACAUUCUGAAAUUGAUAGUUAUUCUCUAUAUAUGAGAAAGCAUGAUAGAGUUGUGUAUUAGGGGUAAAUAAUAUUUUCUGCUGUUUGAUAAAACAGUUAGGCGGCUACCCUGUCUGUCAUAUAUUUUGAUUCUCCUUUGACGAAAUUCCUAUCCUUAAAUGCCAUUUUCUCCAUGGUUUUUAUGUUUUGCAUUGUCCAGUACAGGAUACUGAAUUAACAGUUACACGAAAGUUUAGCACACACUUUUCUAAGAGACGGGAGACGGGACCACCAGUGUCAUGGCCCUCUUUAUCAAGGGCGUCGACAAUAGGGCUACACUCACAAUGAACUGGAACAGCUUCUUCCAUAAGGCAAACAUGAAGAAAGGGUGUACAUAUGCUUUCGCUUUCAAGUGCACGUCCAAGGGCCUUUGCAUGAUUGUCUAUCCAAUCUAAGCAGGUCACAAUAGUCCUUUGCUACGUAACUUGGUAUUACUAUAAGUAUUUAUUGAGACUUUUAUAUCUGGCAUCAUUUUGGAUCUUAUGUAAAAAAAUUAUGACAAUCCUGUUCGUAUGGCUAUCAUCAAUCCGUACUA
This 3386-nucleotide ribosomal RNA is filed under the name Triticum aestivum (bread wheat). RNAcentral describes it as "partial small subunit ribosomal RNA". The record is from RNAcentral. Lineage: Eukaryota; Viridiplantae; Streptophyta; Magnoliopsida; Poales; Poaceae.